This 2290-nucleotide long non-coding RNA is filed under the name Homo sapiens (human). Its description in RNAcentral is "HSALNT0025868". Lineage: Eukaryota; Metazoa; Chordata; Mammalia; Primates; Hominidae. The record is from RNAcentral.
GCUGAGCCCAGCUCCCAGCCACAGAGGACAAAUCCAUCAAUGUCACCUGAAUGUUCAACCAAGCGAGGAGCUGUGUUCCCUGCUGGAUCGAAACCUGUGGUUAUGAGCCCAGCAUCUGUGUUCACGAAGGCUGCUGCGCAGCCGCUCUUGCCUCUGGGUUUGGUAUCGGGGUGAUGCUGGCUGGAUUGCAUAAGUGGGGGAAUGGUCCUUCUCCUUGAGUUUGUGAAGGAAUUCAUGGGGCAUGGGCAUCAUUUCAUUCCUAUCUUGGCAGGAGUCACAGCAGAGCCCUCCGGGCUGAGUUUCUUUGUGGAAACCCUUCCCCAUCCCGGACGCUUCCCAGCUGGGCCUCGGGCCACCACGGCUGUGGCUCUGGCCUCCCCAGUGUCCUCCUGAAACUCCUUCUGAGUGGUGUCUGGACGUCGACGGUGCCUCAUCUGUCCGGACAUCACGGCCCUGCGUGUCCUGUCCCAAAUCUCCCCAGCCCGCAGCCCUGCUCCCCGGCACUGGAAGGCAGUUCAGGGCUGUCUUGCUGUUUCCUGGAGGUGGCUGUGAAAGGUCUGAAAGACAUAAACACGAUGACGUGCUGGGCUCAGCAGAAGGCUGCCGCCCUCCUGUGUCCAGGACCACAGGACUCCGAAGGCCCCGUGUGUCCUCCUGGGGCCUUAGGGAACUUGGCAGGGCUGCCCACUGGCUCUGUCGGCACGAGGCCUUCAGAAUUACAAACUUUGGAAGAAUUUCUCAAGCUAUCAGAACAACCGAGGUCCCUGUGCACGGCUCUGUGGACGUGAGUUGGUCCUGCAACAGGCAACAGUGCAUUUGCUGGUGAGGGGAGCCCAGCAAGGGCAGGAGUGGCGUCAGUCUGUCCAGUUACAAAACAUAGCAAUGGGACAAGAUCCAGUAGGCCCCGUGUUUGCCAGUAGACACUCACUCUCUUCCACAACCCGAGCAGGCACCACGCAGGGGAGAGCCGAGGGGUGUGGAAUGGACCCCACCUGCACUCACCCCCAUGCCCAUGGCCAGUUCCUCUUUUUGCUUCAGGAAAACGUCGUUUUCCCCUGGAAACCAGCGUUUGAUUCACCGACUCGCACAGUAGGCAGCCUGGAGACGGCCGUCUUCUUAGCUGGGACACCAGGCACUCCAGGGCUUUUGUUUUCCCUCCUAUGGUGUCAUCAUAGACACGACCUCACACUAUCUGCUUAUCACAGUGUAAAGCUCUUCGGAAGAACAACCUUCACAUCAGCAUUUGUUAUGAGUGACAGGGGAGGGAGCAAAACCUCCUCCUCCAACCCAUGUUUUCGCAUCAUUUUUCAUCUGCGGAGAAACCCAAGCCAUCCCCACCCCCAGGAAUGUAAGGACAGAAACUGAAGUCCUCAUCAUUCUGCCUCUGGUCUUCCUGUUAAUAAAAAAUAAGUCUGUGUUAAUUAGAUUUGGAAGAUGAGUUUUCCAUCCAGGCACUUUUCCCUGAAUUAUCCUCGUCCGCACGAGCGACUCUUUCCAGGGCUGGAGCUCACGGCUGGGCUGUGGCCUGUGCCGUCCCGUGGAGGUUAGAAGGUGGGCGCAGAUGUGCUCAGCUUCCUGAGAGACGUCUCAUUAUAACGCCGCCCCAGGCAGUAAUUUGAUCUUUUUUUCUUUUAAAAGAUGAAAUUCCGCUUUUAUCCCUUUGGUUAUAGUCCAUAGCUCCUCUGCUUGUUAAACCUUAAGGAAAAGACUAAAAUCUUUUGCCACUAUUUUGUCGGUAUGUAUUUCAAAAAGAAAAAUAACAAUAUACCUAUUGCAUUAAAAAUGUUUUGAUCUGAUUAUAGCUACAAGGUAAUAGAUAUUAAAGAAUCUAGUGCUCUCCCAUAUGACAAUUAUAAAUGGUACAUUUUCCUUAUUCCAGGAAAUGUUACAAAAAUUUGGGAACACUAAAUUAAUAUAAUUUGCCCAAAGGUGCUUAUGUCUGUCUAGAGGAUGGCAUAAGUUCAUUGUAGUAUAGAUAAUGCAUAUCAUACAAAUCGUGUUCAGAAACCCCUGCUAAAACCAGUCUCCUUGUUUUAUGAUCACAUUAUAUGAAGGAGUAAAUGCUGUAUCAGAUAUUCCAGGAAUAAAACUUGCUUAUCAAAAUCACCCUACACAACACCUCAGUGUCCAAGGGAACAUAAAAGGUAAUGUCAAGGGUUCCCGCAUAUCAACAUAAAUGUGAUUUUCAGAUAAGCAAUUACAGCAUAGUCCACAGUAAUAUCCGACAUUUUUAUUGCUCGAAUAUUUUUGUAAUAAGGAAAAAUAGUUCAGUACAAAUUUAUGAUAUUUU